RNAcentral lists this long non-coding RNA (580 nucleotides) under Mus spicilegus (steppe mouse). RNAcentral's name for it is "lncRNA (ENSMSIG00000030902.1)". The record is from RNAcentral. Lineage: Eukaryota; Metazoa; Chordata; Mammalia; Rodentia; Muridae.
CUAGGUUUACACAGGGGUUGUCAAAUGUCCUUUCCCUGCAAAUGGGAUUUCUGGUGAGAUUCCUAGAAGAAUACAGAUUUGCUGUUGAGGAGGAAGAUGGGCCUUGUUCGUUGUGCUACAGCUCUUCCUUCGAGCCAGAUGCCUGAAUGAGGGGCUCCUUUCCCUUCCUCAGGUCCCCAGAUUCUCCCUGCCUUUCUCUCCUGUCUCAGCCAUGUCCAGGAGGAGAAUUAAGGAUUACCUGAGCGCCGUGGAGUCUUCUACCCAACACUCCUGUCCCACCUACAGGGAAAUGAAUUCCUGCAGCUCAGACCUUCCAGUCUGGAAUCAAGUUGACCUGUAGCUGAAUGGGAAUUCUGCCAUUCUUCAUCUGGGAGUGAAGGGGGUGGGGCCAGUGUGCUGAAGACCACAGGGCUGAGAAAAAAAGCUGCCAACCUGCUGCCUGGAGAGAGAUCCCAGCAACCCUGAAGCCAGCUCUACCCCAGUGUGGCCAAGUCCUGACACCCAUAUAAUAAUCCACACAGCUCUUGUCUUGGUGGCAUUCUGGGGAUGGCUGGGGCACCCCAUUGAGCACCUGCUUCAG